Nelumbo nucifera (sacred lotus) is the source of this 1007-nucleotide non-coding RNA. The record is from RefSeq and is a predicted model, not a curated record. Lineage: Eukaryota; Viridiplantae; Streptophyta; Magnoliopsida; Proteales; Nelumbonaceae.
UCUACCGACUCCGGAUGGGCAGGAGAUUUGAGCUCCGCUCUGCCCCACCCCGCCCUAGUUGGGGCAGUUUUUUUUUUUGACUAUUUUGAUCAGCCGCCGAGAUUUGAUUUGGUCCUCACUCUCGUGACGUUAGAAAUUCGCAAGUUUAGGAAUAUUCUGAUCAGAACUGGGACGCGUACUAAAAUACUGGUUGUAAACAUUUUAAUUACAUGGGAUUUUUCGGUCUUCCUCCCAUUUUCGAUUCUCCCCUGCCAAGCCCUAACCUAGAAGCUUCCAUCGGCAAGAUGUCCGUGAACCUGAAACCCACCGGCGGACAACAUCAAGGGCUACAACUUUGUUUGCCGUUAGAUAGCGCAUAUUGUCUCUGCCAUCGUCGUCUCCGUCAACUACUAUCUCUCGCCGGAACAUCGGUACCCGGCACUAUACGACAACGGAUUCAAAACUCUGGUGUCCCUUGACACAAGAAAUUGUGAGGAGUUUCCAGUUUUCAGCUCUCAAAGCAGUGCAGUAAGUCUCAUAGAACUGCAUUAAAUGGACAAGGAAUUCAAUUCUUCUGCAUUAGACAAAGGGCACCAGAUUGAGCAACAGAGAACUGGAUCCAGUUCUGUUUUUUGGGGUUUUGAUAGGUUGCCUUCGACCAGGGUAGCAUUGACUUGGGGAUGCGGAUGUUUGUUUCGGAGAGGAAGGAGUUUAGGGGUAACGCCGACUUCAGAAGUAUUAAAAAGCAAAAAAAAAAGUUUGCAGGGAAGGAGGAGAAGAAGAAAAAGAAAUCCUCAGAAGAAGAUUGGAAGAAGAAUAGAAAGAAGACAAGCAUGCUUAUUGCCGGUUGAUUUCUUGCCGUCGGUGGAUUCUCCGUUCACGGACGUCGGUUGUGCAGUGAAAUCGCCAAUGGAUUGCUUUUUGUGUUAGGACUCUGAGGAGAAAAUGGGAGGAGUAAGAAUGAAUUCUCACAUCCCAAUCCUAAAUAAUUCAAAAGAAUCAAUGAUUUUAAAUUUCUCGUCUUUUUC